RNAcentral lists this ribosomal RNA (253 nucleotides) under uncultured bacterium. Its description in RNAcentral is "partial 16S ribosomal RNA". It matches the Rfam family "Bacterial small subunit ribosomal RNA", at positions 524 to 776 of the family's 1533-position model. The record is from RNAcentral.
UACGUAGGGGGCUAGCGUUGUCCGGAAUCAUUGGGCGUAAAGCGCGUGUAGGCGGUCCGAUAAGUCCGCUGUGAAAGUCGGGGGCUCAACCCUCGGAUGCCGGUGGAUACUGUCAGGCUUGAGUACGGAAGAGGCGAGUGGAAUUCCUGGUGUAGCGGUGAAAUGCGCAGAUAUCAGGAGGAACACCAAUUGCGAAGGCAGCUCGCUGGGACGUUACUGACGCUGAGACGCGAAAGCGUGGGGAGCAAACAGG